UUUUUAUCUUAUCUUACUUACUCUGCUGAACUCUCUUCACCCCAUCCAACAGACCCUGAAGAGCUCAAAGAUCAAAGCAUCAGGAAGCCAAGAAUUCAAGCGUCUGCAACCCGAGAAUCAAGAAAUUAGCAGCAACCGGGUUUCGACAUGGGCUUGAACCUGUUCCUUCUCCUAGCCAUGGUCGCCACCAACAUCCUCGCCCUCUACCACCUCUCUGCUCCCAUUCUUCAAUCCCCC
RNAcentral lists this unclassified non-coding RNA (237 nucleotides) under Hevea brasiliensis (rubber tree). The record is from RNAcentral. Lineage: Eukaryota; Viridiplantae; Streptophyta; Magnoliopsida; Malpighiales; Euphorbiaceae.